UAGGCGUAAAUGAUGCGAGUUAAGUGUGGGGGCAUCUACGAGAUGGCCCUGUGCUGUAGGGUAGCCGUUAAACUCGCUGCCUGGGGAGUACGGUCGCAAGGCUGAAACUUAAAGGAAUUGGCGGGGGAGCACCGCAACGGGAGGAGCGUGCGGUUCAAUUGGAUUCAACGCCGGACAACUCACCAGGAGCGAUGGUUACAUGAAGGCCAGGCUGAUGACCUUGCCUGAUUUUCCGAGAGGAGGUGCAUGGCGUAGUCGUGU
RNAcentral lists this ribosomal RNA (261 nucleotides) under uncultured archaeon. RNAcentral's name for it is "partial 16S ribosomal RNA". It matches the Rfam family "Archaeal small subunit ribosomal RNA", at positions 748 to 1009 of the family's 1478-position model. The record is from RNAcentral.